Molecule: ribosomal RNA, 377 nt
Filed under: uncultured eukaryote
Lineage: Eukaryota
Description: partial 18S ribosomal RNA
Rfam family: Eukaryotic small subunit ribosomal RNA
Source: RNAcentral
CCAAGAGCGUAUAUUAAAGUUGCUGCGGUUAAAAAGCUCGUAGUUGGAUUUCAGUCUAGGAAGGUUAACUCGCCGAAAGGUUGUACGUUGAUUUUCCUCAGACUUCGUCAGAAGCUCGUGCUGCACUUAACUGUGUGGUACGAUGUUCUGACCUUUUACCUUGAGGAAAGUAGAGUGUUUCAGGCAGGCUACCCAGCUUGAAUACAUUAGCAUGGAAUAAUGAAAUGGAUCUCGGUUCGAUUUCGUUGGUUCUAGAGCUGAGGUGAUGAUCAAUAGGAACAGGCGAAGGUAUUCGUACUUGAGAGUGAGGAGUGAAAUCCGAUGAUCUCUUAAAGACGAUCCGAGGCGAAAGCAUUUGUCAAGGAUGUUUUCAUUGA